This 465-nucleotide ribosomal RNA is filed under the name uncultured bacterium. RNAcentral describes it as "partial 16S ribosomal RNA". It matches the Rfam family "Bacterial small subunit ribosomal RNA", at positions 28 to 507 of the family's 1533-position model. The record is from RNAcentral.
GACGAACGCUGGCGGCGUGCUUAACACAUGCAAGUCGAACGGAAAGGCCCCUUUGGGGGUCCUCGAGUGGCGAACGGGUGAGUAACACGUGAGUAACCUGCCCUUGACUUCGGGAUAACUUCAGGAAACUGGGGCUAAUACCGGAUAGGAAUCCUUGCUGCAUGGUGGGGGUUGGAAAGCUUCGGCGGUUUUGGAUGGACUCGCGGCUUAUCAGCUUGUUGGUGGGGUAGUGGCUUACCAAGGCUUUGACGGGUAGCCGGCCUGAGAGGGCGACCGGCCACAUUGGGACUGAGAUACGGCCCAGACUCCUACGGGAGGCAGCAGUGGGGAAUAUUGCACAAUGGGCGGAAGCCUGAUGCAGCAACGCCGCGUACGGGAUGACGGCCUUCGGGUUGUAAACCGCUUUCAGCAGGGGCGAAGCUUGUGGUGACGGUACCUGCAGAAGAAGCACCGGCUAACUACGUG